RNAcentral lists this transfer RNA (70 nucleotides) under Chaetodon speculum (mirror butterflyfish). RNAcentral's name for it is "tRNA-Ile". Lineage: Eukaryota; Metazoa; Chordata; Actinopteri; Chaetodontiformes; Chaetodontidae. The record is from RNAcentral.
GAAGCCGUGCCUGAACUAAAGGGUCACUUUGAUAGAGUGAAUCAUGAAGGUGAAAACCCUUCCGACUUCU